Long non-coding RNA from Heterocephalus glaber (naked mole-rat), 2985 nucleotides. The record is from Ensembl. NCBI's taxonomy places the organism in Eukaryota, Metazoa, Chordata, Mammalia, Rodentia, Bathyergidae.
ACCAUUUGUAGAACUACAAGCUCAGUUCAUAUGGUAACAACUUCUGUUGGAAAGUUAACUGGAAGAAUUUCCUUCUGGAGUGGAGUUACAGGAGCAGUAAACAGACUAAGACAGAAAAGGAAAAGAAAUCCAAGGUUGGUUGUACACAUCAAGUUUAUUUACAUCUAUUGGCCCAAACUUAGUCAUACAGUCACAUCUAUUAACAAGAGCAUCUGGGAAAUACAGACUUAUGGCAAAGGAGUGGGAGUGUUCAUGGCAGUCUCCCUGUCUCUGCUGCAUCAUGUACACUGGACAAGAGGUAAAGAAACUGCAUUAGUUACUUUUCUCUCAUUGCUGGGACAAAAUACCUGACACCCAAAGUUAAAGGGGAAGAGGUUUAUUUGGCUUAUAGUUCAUAAAGGUUUCAGUCUAUAAUUGGCUGGCUCCAAGGAAGGGUGGCAGAAAGGUAACAGUGCAAAAGCAACAAGAAAGCUUAAAAGCAUCUUUCUGCCCUUUUUUAUCCUAUUCAGACUACUUAGGGCAGGUAGCACUCAUGCCCUUAAUCCUUGUGCCCUUGGGCCUAGCCCCACCAUGGCUCAAUUAUGCACUCUAGAUUUAGCUACCUCCAAAAGAGCCCCACCUCAUUUGCAUAAGGCUUUGUGGGAGGGACAUCUAAAGACAAGUCAUAACAUUCCACCCCUGGCCCCCUAAAGAUUCAUGCACAUCUCUUCUUGCAAAAGCAUUUAGUCCAUCUCUAAAUGUUGUUAAAGUCCUAUCAGUUUUAGCAUUGCUGAAAAUUCCAAGUCCAAAGUCUUCUCUGAGAUUUAAGGUAAAUUCUUAGCUGUGAUCCAAUGUAUAAAUGAAAAGAAAGUUAAGCACUUGCAACAUUCAAUGGCACAAGAUAGACAUUUCCAUUCCAAAAGUUACAAGCAGGGGGAUACAAAGGAAUAGGACCAAAGCAAGUCCAAAAUCCAUCAGGGAAAACAUUAAAUCCACUUCCAGCAUCCCAGGCAAUCUGUGGCAAGUUGUGAACUCCAAAGGGCUUGGGUGUCUCUGUCUCUAUGAUACUUCUGGUUGUAGCUCCCAUAACUUCUCUCUUGGGCUGUGUCUGCUCCCUCCUUGCAGUUUUCCUCAGACAAGCCAUGGUCCUGGCUUCUCCAAACUUCUGGGGUCUCCACUGCACCUUCAGCUUCACACUCACACCUUCACACACUGCCCUCUCGGGACACACUGCCUGGCCACCCAGGACUUCUUCUGAAAGCUGAGUGGAAGCCUUCCUGACCCCACAACUCUUGCAUUUUGCAUGUGCCUAAAACCCGAACCACGUGGAUGAUGCCAAGGUCUACUGUCAGUUGGAGUAGUAGUAGCCAGGUCUUCCCUUUCUCUUGGAUGUAGUGGUCGAGUGCCUGGAUUGCUGAGUACUCUGAAUCCAAUUCCAAGGAACAAAUUCUCUAGGUCACCACCAUUCUGAAACAUGCUGCUCUGGGGCUUUUCUCAAAGCAAAGUCUUUCACUUUUGCAAUUUUGAGGCUGCAAAGGGUGGAAUCCUGCUGCUUCUUGUGACACCCUAAGGCUGUCUUUUCUACUCUUCUGUUCCUUCUCAGCAAUAAAGGUCUCCUCUGCUUCAUCUUUGCAGGCCAAAACUUUACUGGAGCUUCCUUUCUGGCCAAACUCAAAACAUUUUAAAUCAUUCUUCUAGGCUUCUUGCUCUUGAUUCUCAACAUAGAUCUGGCUAAAAGCUCCCAGCAAUAGCCAUACCACUGCCUCAAUAUUUGACUGCCUUGAAAUCUCUUCUGCAAAAUUAGUCCACUCCCCCUAAUCUCAGUCUCAGGCAAAAUCUCUGGACAUGAGAAAAAUGCAGACAAACUUUCUGCCAACCAUAACACACAUCAUUUGGAGUCCAACAGCCAGUGCAGUCCUUCCCAGCAAAAACCUUCUGAGCUGGGUCUUUACUGGCUUUCUGGUCUUCUGAGCUCUGACCAGACUCUCCCAUACAGAACAGCCUAAGGUGUUCUCUACUUCUGCUGCCAACAUCUCCAAAUCUUUUCUAACUCUUCCCCAUCCCACAAACCAGUUCCAAAGGCUCUUAAGCCACAGGUAAUGUCCAGGUAAUGUCACAGCAAUGACCCCACUCCUGGUACCAAAUUUCUGUGUUAGUGACUUUUCUCUCAUUAUUGAGACAAAAUGCCUGACAACCAAAGUUAAAGGAGAAGAGGUUUAUUUGGCUUACAGUUGGAGGAGGUUUCAGUCCAUAAUUGGCUUGCUCCAAGGCAGGGUGGCAGAAGGGCAACAGUCAUGGUGAUGGAAGAGAGCAAAAGCAACAAGAGAGCUUGAGAGUAUAUUUAUGCCCCUUUUAUCCUAUUCAGACUGCUUAGGAUGGGUAGCACUCAUCCUUAAUCUUAGUACUCUCGGGCCUAGCCCCACCAUAAAUCAAUCAUGCACUUUAAAUUCUGCUACCUCCAAAAUAGCCCCAUCUCAUUUGCAUGAGGCUUUGGGGGACAUCUAAAGACAAGCCAUAAUGGAUAUCUUGCCUUUAGCUUAUAGAUCCAUGGAACACAAAGAUUCACAUAAAGGCAUUAUGAAGAGAAAUGUAUGCUCUAAAUAGUCUGGGAUUUGGGCUAUCUAGCUAGAUAGGAAUUUUGUCAUCCUUGAGGACAGGGUAAAUGUGUUCAUAUUUGAGAAGAAAAUAAAACCAGUAUUUGGUGGCCCAAGGAAUGGACUGAAACAGAGGAGCAGUUUUUGUGCUUUCUCUUCAACACUGUAGAGUUGUUGCUGUCCUGCCAGGAACUGGACUUCUGUUUGUACUUUCAUCCUCCCAACUAAUUCCCAGCAGCACAACAUGUUCAGACACAGUGGGUAUUAUGUCUGAGGCAUGGAAAUUAAGAAGCAUUUGUGCUUUCUCUACAUCCUCUUCAUUGUCUGCUGGAUGGAUACAGACAACUCUCAAAUCCUACAGGAUAGCACACCACAAGAUGAAAGGAAACUGAGUUCUGAAAUCUCCAAGCAG